CAGUAGCCGCGGUAAUGCGAAGGGUGCAAGCGUUGCUCGGAAUUAUUGGGCGUAAAGGGUUGGUAGGUGGUCUUGUUUGUCUAAGGUGAAAUCCCAUGGCUCAACCGGGGAGGGUCAUUGGAAACUGGGAAACUUGAGUGCAGAAGAGGAGAGUGGAAUUCCACGUGUAGCGGUGAAAUGCGUAGAGAUGUGGAGGAACACCAGUGGCGAAGGCGACUCUCUGGUCUGUAACUGACGCUGAGGAGCGAAAGCGUGGGGAGCGAACAGGAUUAGAUACCCCCGUAGUCCCUGUCUCUUAUAC
This 301-nucleotide ribosomal RNA is filed under the name uncultured bacterium. Its description in RNAcentral is "partial 16S ribosomal RNA". It matches the Rfam family "Bacterial small subunit ribosomal RNA", at positions 509 to 807 of the family's 1533-position model. The record is from RNAcentral.